Molecule: long non-coding RNA, 324 nt
Filed under: Chinchilla lanigera (long-tailed chinchilla)
Lineage: Eukaryota; Metazoa; Chordata; Mammalia; Rodentia; Chinchillidae
Description: lncRNA (ENSCLAG00000023283.1)
Source: RNAcentral
GUAAUCCCAGUGCUUGGGAGGCUGAGGUAGGAGGAAUGCUGUGAGUUUGAAGUCAGCAUGGGCUACGAAGUGAGUUGAAGACCAGCCUGAACUGCAUAGCAAGACCCUGUCUCAAAAAGACCAAAAAAAAAAAAAAAUUUUUUUCUAUGACACAGAGGAUGAAGAAUCCCAUAGUACAAGAUGAAUUUGAGGCUUAAACUUUGGCUUUGGAACACUUGUCUAUCCAGUCUCAGCAGACUAACAGGAACCGUUGUGCAGCGCCCUAUUGAUGAAGGAUUCGGAGGCCGCAAAGCAGAACCGGCAAGAGCAUUCCAGAGAUAUUAA